AUGACCACAAAACGGUUCGGUCGCCUUGAGCAGAUCCUCCUCCUCCUUCCUCCCCUCAACCUCAAGGAAGAUGGGAAGUCGCCGCCAUCGAGCUGCAUAGCGCGAGUCAAUCUUGUAUGCUGCUUGGUAGUAUUACAGAACGCAGCAAUUAAGAAGAGGGUCAUCAAGUGCAAGAGGCACCAACACAUGGAAGAUGGCAAGGGCAUGCAUGCAUUUUCUAGCUGCACCCAUCAGGCUAGAGAGGAGGCUCAAGCCUUGAUCUGUGUGGCUCAAGAGAGAUUGAAAAAGAAAGAGGUAGAAGAUAGGUUACCAAGUGCAAUUGAAAUAGAUGGCUGUGUGUCACCCCCAAAAAAUGCUAGGGGCAAAGAGCUGUGUGCAAAUGGGGGUGACAAACAGCAACAAUACAGUUGUAUCAUGAUGAAUAUUCUGUUUUGGAAUGUGAGGGGUUUGGGGAAUCCUGGUAGAAGAGAGCAGUUGACAGAAAUAUUAAGGAAGAAUAAAGUAGAGGUGGUUUGUUUGCAAGAAACAAUUAGAGUGAGUUUUGCAGCCAAUGAAUUGGAUAGAUUCUGUGGGGGGAGGGACUUUCACUGGUUAACUAAACCGGCUGAGGGUCAUUCUGGGAGUUUGUUAAUGGGGGUUAACUUGGAGUUGGUGGAUGUAGUGGAAGUUGACCUAGGGGAGUUUUUCAUAAGUAUGUUGGUAGAAUCAAAAAGAGAGAAGAAAAGAUGGAGGAUUGUUAAUGUAUAUGGGCCAGUUCAAACAGAUAAGAAAGAUAGAUUUCUCCAUGAAUUGACUGAGAUGGUGCUGGUGGAGCAAGAGGCUGUAAUGAUAGGGGGAGACUACAAUUUAGUAAGAAGUGCUGAGGAAAAGUCUAAUAGUAUAAUCAACAAGAGAUGGGCUGCCAAAUUUAAUGCUUUUAUUUCUACUGCUGAAUUAAGAGAGUUACAUAGAGGGGGAGGCAAAUAUACCUGGACAAACAAACAAACAAAUCCAGUGAGGGAAGUUCUAGAUAGGGUUUUGGUGUCUGCUUCCUGGGAUAAUCUGGACCCCUUCACUGUUGUUGGCGGUAUGGCAUGAGGCCCUUCGA
This 1087-nucleotide long non-coding RNA is filed under the name Oryza sativa Indica Group (long-grained rice). RNAcentral describes it as "lncRNA OsZS97_10G000340". The record is from RNAcentral. Lineage: Eukaryota; Viridiplantae; Streptophyta; Magnoliopsida; Poales; Poaceae.